Molecule: regulatory RNA element, 104 nt
Organism: Blastococcus sp.
Lineage: Bacteria; Bacillati; Actinomycetota; Actinomycetes; Geodermatophilales; Geodermatophilaceae
Rfam family: TPP riboswitch aptamer (THI element)
About the family: Vitamin B(1) in its active form thiamin pyrophosphate (TPP) is an essential coenzyme that is synthesised by coupling of pyrimidine and thiazole moieties in bacteria. The previously detected thiamin-regulatory element, thi box was extended, resulting in a new, highly conserved RNA secondary structure, the THI element, which is widely distributed in eubacteria and also occurs in some archaea. Analysis of operon structures identified a large number of new candidate thiamin-regulated genes, mostly transporters, in various prokaryotic organisms.
Source: Rfam
AACACACAGCAGGGGAGCGCUUCGGCGCUGAGAGUGCGGGCAACCGCAGACCCUCGAACCUGAUCCGGGUCAUGCCGGCGCAGGGAGUCUGGAGGACAACCAUG